This 367-nucleotide RNase P RNA is filed under the name Bacteroidota bacterium. RNAcentral's name for it is "Bacteroidetes bacterium (anaerobic digester metagenome) RNase P RNA component class A". It matches the Rfam family "Bacterial RNase P class A". Rfam says of the family: Ribonuclease P (RNase P) is a ubiquitous endoribonuclease, found in archaea, bacteria and eukarya as well as chloroplasts and mitochondria. Its best characterised activity is the generation of mature 5'-ends of tRNAs by cleaving the 5'-leader elements of precursor-tRNAs. The record is from RNAcentral. Lineage: Bacteria; Pseudomonadati; Bacteroidota.
GCAGUUGGUCGUUCCAUCGCCCGUUUUAGCGGGAGGAAAGUCCGGGCAACAGAGAGCGCCAUACUUCCUAACGGGAAGACAUCCGCGAGGGUGUACCAGCGUAACAGAAAACAACCGCCUCUCUUUGGGGGGGUAAGGGUGAAAAUGCGAGGUAAGAGCUCACAGAGUUGGGUGGCAACAUCCAAUAUCGUAUGCGUUAUGGGUUGAAAGACUAUGUAUACCGGCUAUCAGGGCUGCUCGUCCAAUGCCGGGGGGUAGGUCGCUUGAACCUUUCAGUGAUGAAAGGUCCAGAUAAAUGAUGGAAACCUGAUCCAAUCUUUACAGGGGGUAUCUGGUACAGAACCCGGCUUACAGACCAACUGCAUAA